Molecule: long non-coding RNA, 1082 nt
Organism: Strigops habroptila (Kakapo)
Lineage: Eukaryota; Metazoa; Chordata; Aves; Psittaciformes; Psittacidae
Source: Ensembl
GCCACUUGGACCAUGUCUUCCACCCGUUUUGUUGGCCAAGGCUGAAGCGGAGCUCAUGGGCAGGGGUGGUCGUGCCCAUUGUGCGUCCCAGGAAGAUGUGCUGUGCUGGGCAGAGCAUCCCAAUCGCACCCAGCUGCUUCCACAGCCGCUUCUAUGGUGCGCUGGGGAGGAGAUGACCUCUCCAGUAUCAAACCACCUUGUUGCUUCUAGGCUGUGUUUCAAAUGAUGGUUAAACCCAACAUGGCUGUGGAGCUACUGUCGCUUCAGCUGCUGCCCAGAGGAGAGGAAAGGCCGCGGGUAUCCAAGUCUUCAGCACAAGUUCUGUGGAGCGCUUAAGAAGGCUGGAGAGAACCCUGUGCCCUUGGAGAAAAUUGUUUCCCCUUUUCCUACAGGGAAUCCAGAGCCUGAGCAGCAGCUGUGAAGACUGGAGAGAAAGAAAGAAGUGGAAGAUGUUGGAAGUGCUUUGGGCAACGUGAAGAAGGAUUUGCACAGAAGGAGCUGUUCAAGGGCCCAGCAGCAAACCAGAGACACAUACAUGCUUAUAUAUAGAAGAAUGUAAACCCUCCUGUAUGCAUACGUUAAGACGUGCAUGCCUUGUUGAGAACGUAAGCAACAUUCCUUGUAGAUGAUGGUGGUCUGAGCAUUCGUGCUCCUGCAGUCGGAGUCAAAAGAUUAGUGAUGUCCUUGCUGUAACACUAGCAGUUUCUCCACUGCGCCUUGUUUAUGGCAACGUAACCGUUCCUUUCAAUGCAGUGGGGUGGAAAAUACAUCCAGAGUUAAGUACUACCUUGAGAGACCAAGCUUGCUGCGGGACGGGCACGGCCUGGCCGUGGGGCGGGCACGGGUGCUUGGCAGCUUGGACGACAGACAGUCUGUGUGUGUAUAUAUUCAGUGCUAUAGCACCAGGUGAGAUAAGCUGUUCUUCUGACUUUAGUUUCUCUGGUGCUACAUUUCAUAUUUGUCUGGGGCUAAACUGCCUCUCUGUGGUGCUACAGUUUCCCUGAGAGGAUGUUCUGAAACAUGGGACAAGGAAAAAUCUAUUUUGGUUAUUGAUAUUUAUACACAAGAUAGCAAAAAAAAAA